GGUCUUGUCCUUCCCUCCAAAGGAGGUCUCCCGCGGCAGGGGUGCUCCCAGCCUGGUGGCUACGGGAUCGGAGCCUCAAGCUUCUUCCCAGAGGGCGCUGCUAGCUCGGGGGCUAGCUCACCCUGCCCCCCCCCCCCCCCCCAGCGAUCCCCAGGCUGCGCCCCGGCCCAGUUUCGCCCAGUCUCGCCCGAGUGGGGGUGGAGGGGCAGGGGGACGGGAGAGCGGCGGCGGCGGCGGCCGGGCGCCCUCCCUCGGCCCCUCCCUGGGGCUCGGCCGCCGCGGCCUCCCCGCCAGCCCUCACUUUGCAAACUUUCGGACUUUUCCUCCACUGCGUCGAGGGGAAGGCGGCGGCUGACGGAGCCCCGGGGGCGAGGCGGCGGCGGGGGGGACUCUAGGCGCUCCGGCCAGGGGUCCCCGCGCGGGGGGCUCCUGGAGGCUCGGGCCCCUAACCUCGGCGGGUCGGGGAGCGAGCGCGAGCGCGGGGGGCCGGGGGAGGGGGUCCCCGCGGGGUGGGGGUGCUCCAGGAGCUCCGGCGAGGGGUCCCCGCGGGGUGGGGGUGCUCCAGGAGCUCCGGCGAGGGGUCCCCGCGGGGUGGGGGUGCUCCAGGCGCUCGGGCGAGGGGUCCCCGCGGGGUGGGGGUGCUCCAGGCGCUCGGGCGAGGGGUCCCCGCGGGGUGGGGGUGCUCCAGGCGCUCGGGCGAGGGGUCCCCGCGGGGGUGGGGGUGCUCCAGGAGCUCCGGCGAGGGGUCCCCGCGGGGUGGGGGUGCUCCAGGCGCUCGGGCGAGGGGUCCCCGCGGGGUGGGGGUGCUCCAGGCGCUCGGGCGAGGGGUCCCCGCGGGGUGGGGGUGCUCCAGGAGCUCCGGCGAGGGGUCCCCGCGGGGUGGGGGUGCUCCAGGCGCUCGGGCGAGGGGUCCCCGCGGGGUGGGGGUGUUCCAGGCGCUCGGGCGAGGGGUCCCCGCGGGGUGGGGGUGCUCCAGGCGCUCGGGCGAGGGGUCCCCGCGGGGUGGGGGUGCUCCAGGAGCUCCGGCGAGGGGUCCCCGCGGGGUGGGGGUGCUCCAGGAGCUCCGGCGAGGGGUCCCCGCGGGGUGGGGGUGCUCCAGGCGCUCGGGCGAGGGGUCCCCGCGGGGUGGGGGUGUUCCAGGCGCUCGGGCGAGGGGUCCCCGCGGGGUGGGGGUGCUCCACGAGCUCCGGCGAGGGGUUCCCGCGGGGUGGGGGUGCUCCAGGAGCUCCGGCGAGGGGUCCCCGCGGGGUGGGGGUGCUCCAGGCUCUCCGGCGAGGGGUCCCCGCGGGGUGGGGGGGUGCUCCAGGCGCGCGGGCCCCUAACCUCGGCGGGUCGGGGCGGGCGCGGGGGCCGGCGGGGGGGCGGAGCCGGGCCAAAGCGCCGCGGAGUUCGCCCGAGUCCCGGCCGCCGCUCCUCCCUCCCGCCUCUCCCCACCCCGCGCCGCCCCCUCGGCUCUUCCCUCCUCUCUCCGGACGCCGCCUCCCGGAAUCCCUUUUCUCUGUUGUUUUGGAGCUAGGUCCUCGCUGGCGGCGCCGAGGGGCCGCGGGCGCGCGACGCGGAGGCGGGCGGGGGCACGGGCCGGGGCAGUGGCCGCCGCCCCCCGGGGACCCCGGCCGCGCGGACCCGGAGCGCCACCGACCCCGCGCACUGCCGCCCCGGGGCGCGCCCUCCGGCUCCCGCGGCGGGGUGACCCCGGGCCGGGCUCGGACUCCGAGCGGGCCCGCAAGUGCUGCGGAGCCGGCGGACAAAAGAGGCCGCUCAGCUGGUGGCCAGAAGUGCCGGGGCGCCUCGUCGCGCCCCCUCCGUCCUCGGAGUGGGGGGCUCGGGCGGGGAGGGCGCCGGGGUCGCCGAGGUGGCGGCCUGUUGUGUAAGCCUCAGUGCUUGUUUCCC
This 1890-nucleotide long non-coding RNA is filed under the name Canis lupus familiaris (dog). Its description in RNAcentral is "lncRNA (ENSCAFG00845020654.1)". The record is from RNAcentral. Lineage: Eukaryota; Metazoa; Chordata; Mammalia; Carnivora; Canidae.